UACAGAGGUCCCAAGCGUUGUUCGGAUUCACUGGGCGUAAAGCGCGUGUAGGCGGCUCGGUAAGUCUGCUGUGAAAGUCCAGGGCUCAACCCUGGAACGCCGGUGGAUACUGUCGAGCUCGAGUCCGGAAGAGGCGAGUGGAAUUCCUGGUGUAGCGGUGAAAUGCGCAGAUAUCAGGAGGAACACCAAUGGCGAAGGCAGCUCGCUGGGACGGUACUGACGCUGAGACGCGAAAGCGUGGGGAGCAAACAGG
This 253-nucleotide ribosomal RNA is filed under the name uncultured bacterium. RNAcentral's name for it is "partial 16S ribosomal RNA". It matches the Rfam family "Bacterial small subunit ribosomal RNA", at positions 524 to 776 of the family's 1533-position model. The record is from RNAcentral.